This 73-nucleotide transfer RNA is filed under the name Paramuricea clavata. It matches the Rfam family "tRNA". From Rfam's summary of the family: Transfer RNA (tRNA) molecules are approximately 80 nucleotides in length. The record is from Rfam by way of RNAcentral. Lineage: Eukaryota; Metazoa; Cnidaria; Anthozoa; Malacalcyonacea; Plexauridae.
GACCGCGUAGCUCAGUUGGCAGAGCAUUGGGCUAGCGUUCCAAAGGUCGUAGGUUCGAUUCCCACCGUGGCCA